This 492-nucleotide ribosomal RNA is filed under the name uncultured bacterium. RNAcentral's name for it is "partial 16S ribosomal RNA". It matches the Rfam family "Bacterial small subunit ribosomal RNA", at positions 29 to 507 of the family's 1533-position model. The record is from RNAcentral.
AGUGAACGCUGGCGGUAGGCCUAACACAUGCAAGUCGAACGGCAGCACAGUAAGAGCUUGCUCUUACGGGUGGCGAGUGGCGGACGGGUGAGGAAUACAUCGGAAUCUACUUUUUCGUGGGGGAUAACGUAGGUAAACUAAACCUAAUCCAGUAUCGGACCAUCGGGUUUAUUCAGGGGUUCUUGAUACCUUGCUGGUAUUACAGCACCGAUGUCGGAUUCGCCGGUGGGCGGGGUAAUGGCCGACCAAGGCGACGAUCCGUACCUGGUCUGAUAGGAUGAUCAGCCACACUGGAACUGAGACACGGUCCAGACUCCUACGGGAGGCAGCAGUGGGGAAUAUUGGACAAUGGGCGCAAGCCUGAUCCAGCCAGACCGCGUGGGUGAAGAAGGCCUUCGGGUUGUAAAGCCCUUUUGUUGGGAAAGAAAAGCAGCAGGUUAAUACCCCGCUGUUCUGACGGUACCCAAAGAAUAAGCACCGGCUAACUUCGUG